ACAGAAACCAACUUCAACAACGUUGAUAGACGUGGUUUACUGGAUUGAAAGACCCGGUCACUAAAUCUAAAAAAACAUUAUGUGGAACAGACUACGGCUAGAUUGAUUGACAUUACAAGUGAAUAUCUAUAUUAAGUCGUUCUAGCGAUCAAUGCUGGAAAACAAAAUGCAGAUGCUGAGCACGUCAGAAUCUUGAAGAAGAACGAAAAAUAGAUACUUUUGAAAUCAUUCCUGAUUAUACUAUGAUCCUACUUUCACUUUGAGGGACAGACUACAUCGCAGCACUAUUGACCGCUUCGAGCAAUGAUCUGAACUAAGUAACCCGAUCAAUCGAUGUUCGAGAACAAAGUGAAGAGUAAACCAACUGUUACAGUGAAGACAAU
Long non-coding RNA from Neodiprion virginianus, 383 nucleotides. RefSeq lists it as uncharacterized. The transcript has 3 exons. Lineage: Eukaryota; Metazoa; Arthropoda; Insecta; Hymenoptera; Diprionidae. The record is from RefSeq and is a predicted model, not a curated record.